Benincasa hispida (wax gourd) is the source of this 610-nucleotide long non-coding RNA. RefSeq lists it as uncharacterized. The record is from RefSeq and is a predicted model, not a curated record. Lineage: Eukaryota; Viridiplantae; Streptophyta; Magnoliopsida; Cucurbitales; Cucurbitaceae.
CGAAAGUAGCAAAAUCACACGAAAUGAAGCAACCCAAAAUUGCCCUGAGGGCGAAAUGACUCUCCUCCUUCUCCCGAUUAAAUCUUCUUUCAAUAUCAAUCAUCCUUUCAUUUCAACAUUCAAGCGCCACCGAUCCACUCGAUUCUACUUGUUUAUUCCUCUUUGGUAGACAACUAACGAUUCAUAGAUUACUGUCUAUUAGAGAUUUCAUCCGUCAACAACAUCAACUCUUCAAGGUUAUUGAAGACAAGGAAAACGUAAAAAGUUUGGACCGGAGGUAGUAGAUGAUAAACACCUUCAAAAUGAGAGACUAAAGAGAUAGUGAAAACCAAUCAAAAAGGAAAUGGACAAUAAGAAUAAGAAGAAAGUCUCUCCAAAGGAGAAGAAGAAAUCUGAAAAGAAUGAGAAGAAGAAAGUUUCCCCACAAAAGAAGACAACAAUACGAUCAUGGAUGGAUAGUGCUUCAGGCUUUAGCUUGAAAAUUUCUCAACUACAAUCUCAAUCUCAAUCUCAAUAUUGAUUGUUACAAUUUUGUAGAUUAUAGAACUAUUUGGCUUGUACUGGUUGACGAUCAACUACUUUUGAAAUUUAUAAAAUUAAUAGUAUCCUA